RNAcentral lists this ribosomal RNA (463 nucleotides) under uncultured bacterium. RNAcentral describes it as "partial 16S ribosomal RNA". It matches the Rfam family "Bacterial small subunit ribosomal RNA", at positions 30 to 507 of the family's 1533-position model. The record is from RNAcentral.
CGAACGCUGGCGGCGUGCUUAACACAUGCACGUCGAACGGAAAGGCCCCUUUGGGGGUACUCGAGUGGCGAACGGGUGAGUAACACGUGAGUAACCUGCCCUUGACUUCGGGAUAACUUCAGGAAACUGGGGCUAAUACCGGAUAGGAAUCCUUGCUGCAUGGUGGGGGUUGGAAAGCUUCGGCGGUUUUGGAUGGACUCGCGGCUUAUCAGCUUGUUGGUGGGGUAGUGGCUUACCAAGGCUUUGACGGGUAGCCGGCCUGAGAGGGCGACCGGCCACAUUGGGACUGAGAUACGGCCCAGACUCCUACGGGAGGCAGCAGUGGGGAAUAUUGCACAAUGGGCGGAAGCCUGAUGCAGCAACGCCGCAUGCGGGAUGACGGCCUUCGGGUUGUAAACCGCUUUCAGCAGGGGCGAAGCUUGUGGUGACGGUACCUGCAGAAGAAGCACCGGCUAACUACGUG